GACGAACGCUGGCGGCGUGCCUAACACAUGCAAGUCGAACGGAAAGGCCCUGCUUUUGUGGGGUGCUCGAGUGGCGAACGGGUGAGUAACACGUGAGUAACCUGUCCCUGACUUUGGGAUAUCUUCAUGAAACUGGGGCUAAUACCGGAUAGGAUCUCCUGCUGCUUGGUGGGCGUUGGAAAGUUUCGGUGGUUGGGGAUGGAAUCGCGGCUUAUCAGCUUGGUGGUGGGGUAGUGGCUUACCAAGGCUUUGACGGGUAGCCGGCCUGGGAGGGUGACCGGACACAUUGGGACUGAGAUACGGCCCAGACUCCUACGGGAGGCAGAAGUGGAGAAUAUUGCAGAAUGGGCGGGAGCCUGAUGCGGCAACGCCGUGUGCGGGAUGACGGCCUUCGGGUUGUGAACCGCUUUCGCCUGUGACGAAGCGUGAGUGACGGUAAUGGGUAAAGAAGCACCGGCUAACUACGUG
Molecule: ribosomal RNA, 468 nt
Filed under: uncultured bacterium
Lineage: Bacteria
Description: partial 16S ribosomal RNA
Rfam family: Bacterial small subunit ribosomal RNA
Source: RNAcentral